UCCAGCAUCUGUCUCAUCGACCAGCCUCUCUGGCGGCAGUCGAAUUUCACUCAUUCAUGCCGUGGCUUCUGUUACGUUUGGGCUUACUCCCGCCGCCUGAAUUUGUACCUUAAAUUUACCAUUUUUUCUUCUAAGUAUAUUAUCUUUCUUUCUUUCCAACUAUGUCAGACAAAUUCUGAGGUGUGGCCACGUCAUCCCCGCUUCCUCGAAUUCACACCUUCGUGUCACUGUCUACGCUGGCCUGUGAACGGCCCUGCUCGGCUGCUUCUAAACGCGGAGCUCGGCGAAGGCGUUGAGGUGGGACCCAGGACGGCCUGGCCUCGCGCACCGGACUCUGCUCGCUGUUAGACUCGCGCGCUCCGGAGACCCUUCUGCGGCUUGACCAAAACCUGUGAGACAAUUAUUAGCUUCUUGAUCAUUUGGGAUUCUUCCGUUCUACUGGAGCGUCUAAUACUUGGUCAGUCUAAUUUCUGCACGUACAUAGAGUUGUGCAAUCAUCACCACUUUAGAACUUUUUCUUCACUCAAAAAAGGAACCCCAUGCACGAGAGCGGGCAUUCCCUCCAUCUCCUCCUGGCCCCUGAGCAACUAUUAGCCUACUUUUGGUCUCCAGGGAUUUGCAUAUUUUGGACAUUUCAUAUAAAUGGAAUCAUAUAAUAUGUGACCUUGUGUGUCUAGCGACUUUCACUUACAUGAUGUUGUCAAGUUUCAUCAUGUUCAAGUUUUAUCAUACAUCCUACAUGUCAGUGCCUCAUUACAUUUUAUGGCCAAAUAAUAUCCCAUCAUGGAGAUAUGCCACAUUUUGUUCA
Neogale vison (American mink) is the source of this 808-nucleotide long non-coding RNA. RefSeq lists it as uncharacterized. The transcript is spliced from 3 exons. The record is from RefSeq and is a predicted model, not a curated record. NCBI's taxonomy places the organism in Eukaryota, Metazoa, Chordata, Mammalia, Carnivora, Mustelidae.